UAUGUAGGGUGCAAGCGUUAUCCGGAAUUAUUGGGCGUAAAGAGCUCGUAGGCGGUUUGUCGCGUCUGCUGUGAAAACUGGAGGCUCAACCUCCAGCCUGCAGUGGGUACGGGCAAACUAGAGUGCGGUAGGGGAGAUUGGAAUUCCUGGUGUAGCGGUGGAAUGCGCAGAUAUCAGGAGGAACACCGAUGGCGAAGGCAGAUCUCUGGGCCGUAACUGACGCUGAGGAGCGAAAGCAUGGGGAGCGAACAGG
Molecule: ribosomal RNA, 253 nt
Filed under: uncultured bacterium
Lineage: Bacteria
Description: partial 16S ribosomal RNA
Rfam family: Bacterial small subunit ribosomal RNA
Source: RNAcentral